RNAcentral lists this transfer RNA (80 nucleotides) under Podarcis lilfordi (Lilford's wall lizard). RNAcentral's name for it is "tRNA.Ile". The stretch from base 7 to 77 matches the Rfam family "tRNA". Rfam says of the family: Transfer RNA (tRNA) molecules are approximately 80 nucleotides in length. Their secondary structure includes four short double-helical elements and three loops (D, anti-codon, and T loops). Further hydrogen bonds mediate the characteristic L-shaped molecular structure. tRNAs have two regions of fundamental functional importance: the anti-codon, which is responsible for specific mRNA codon recognition, and the 3' end, to which the tRNAs corresponding amino acid is attached (by aminoacyl-tRNA synthetases). tRNAs cope with the degeneracy of the genetic code in two manners: having more than one tRNA (with a specific anti-codon) for a particular amino acid; and 'wobble' base-pairing, i.e. permitting non-standard base-pairing at the 3rd anti-codon position. The record is from RNAcentral. Lineage: Eukaryota; Metazoa; Chordata; Lepidosauria; Squamata; Lacertidae.
ACCUUUCCAUGGAUAGCUCAGUUGUUUAGAGCAUGGUGCUGAUGAUGCCAAGGUUGUAGGUUCGAUCCCCGUAUGGGGUA